RNAcentral lists this ribosomal RNA (541 nucleotides) under Glomeromycotina sp. Its description in RNAcentral is "eukaryotic LSU rRNA". It matches the Rfam family "Eukaryotic large subunit ribosomal RNA", at positions 149 to 629 of the family's 3401-position model. Lineage: Eukaryota; Fungi; Glomeromycota. The record is from RNAcentral.
UUUGAAGAUACGUUUUUGACGUUCCGGGUUGAACUAAAUCCUUUGGGAUAAGGUAUCAUGGAGGGUGAGAAUCCCGUAUAUACCAACCRUAGGGAUGUUAUUUAAUACGUUUCUAAGAGUCGAGUUGUUUGGGAAUGCAGCUCUAAAUGGGUGGUAAAUUUCACCUAAUGCUAAAUAUAAGCGAGAGACCGAUAGCGAACAAGUACAGUGAUGGAAAGAUGAAAAGAACUUUGAAAAGAGAGUUAAAUAGUAYGUGAAAUUGUUGAAAGGGAAACGAUUGAAGUCAGUCAUGCCRGUGGGAAUCAACUUAGAGGAAACUCUGAGUGCACUUCUUCGCUUGGCAGGUCAACGUCGAUUUUGGAUGUCAUAAAAUGAUUGGGGGAAGGUAGCYCYUUCGGGAGUGUUAUAGCCCUUGGUAGAUGUGAUGUCUGGGAUCGAGGAUUGCAAUGGAUACCCUUUGGGGCUAGCCGCCUGAUCUCUAAUYGGUAUUGGGUUACGGAUAGCAUGCUGACCGUGAUCUAAUUAUUGGUUAAAAGGUUAG